CUGCGGUAGGACUUUGACAGUUGCGGUAGAACUCGGCGGCUACCGCAGAGUGAAAAUUUUUCUAAAAAUCCGCAAUAUUGCACUGAAAAAAGUUUUCACGUUGUUUUCAUCUGAUUUUCACAUGGACUGUAUGUUACGUUUAAUAUGUUAUGCAGGAAAAAAUACAUGUAGGCAUUAGCGAUAAGGGUAGAAACGAAAAUAUGAUUCGCUCAGUGUAGUAUUUUCGAACACUAACGGUCGAUUCGAAUGCGCCGCCAACACAACCAUCUGCUGCUGUCAGACAUCGGGCAACACCGCUACUGACACGAGUGCAACUGUUCGGUCGGGGUAGGCGCGGAUCUGGAAAAAAGAAAGUUCAACCAUUCCCGUUCUAUCUUCAGCCCGGCACGUUAGCUGGUUCUCGCAAUCAAGUUUGUGUUAGAUUGUGCAGUUGUGAAACCGCGUGGUGAUUUGGAAUCCAGGAAUAAUUCGUUCUGGCGGGACCGCCAGAAAAACGGGACGCCGGAAAAGCUGCUAAUUGCGGGCAAAGAAGAACGGAUUCGGCGAAGUGCUUCUCACCGUAUUUCAAGUCGACGUCACACACAUCCGUCGAAAAGGAACGACGAGGAACCAAGGGAACGGAGCGACAUCCAAAAGUCAGACACGAUUGCCGAAACAAAUAACGGGAUUCGACGCUCAGGUUCCGUUUGGUUCACGUCGUGGUUAACAGAUUACGGAAUUGACCAGAAAUCAGCCGAUCGUCGUUGGCUAAGGACGGGUGAGCGGAAGCCGUAGGCGACAGAUUGCUACCCGCACCCUAACCUAUAUCAUCCACGAGGACUGAGGAGCGCCCAGCUAAAAUCAGCCAAGACCAUCGUCGGGAUAGUCUGCAGUCAAACAAAGGACCCCACCACAGGGGUUCUUUUAUAUGGUGCCAUCAUCUCCUCGGGUCGGUGAUUCCGAUUUGAGCAAGCUCGAGUCGAGGAAGCCUCUCCGGCGAAUCGGUUCCCGUGGUGCCGGGAAACAGCGAGAGCGGCUAACGGAGGCGAUCGAGAUCGAUUGAACCCGCUCAAUUCGUGAGGCCGAACCACGAAGCUUUCGCCGUAGACCGAGAUUCGGACCUGGCCACCCGCGCAGGUAACGGACGCAGGUCGAUCGUUGAAGAAAAGGUGAGCCAAAUUCCGGCCGGCUAAACCACGAAGGAGGGAGGCGAGAUUCCACCGUGAAGGCAGGACAGGAAGUAAGGGACGACAAGGGCCAGCGGUGUCCAACGACCGGGAAAGGCGCAAGCGUGGCCGGAGGUGCCGGUUGCCACCGGAGCCAAACAACCCCUUCACAGCGAAAUGGAACGGAGUCAAGUUGGCGGUGCCGUGAGUACCGAUAUCAUUUAGAUGCAUAAGAGAACCAAAUGUUAGCAUGUAAGAGCAGACAGUACUGUCGUUAGGAGAUAGGGGCCAAUAGGCCAAUAGCCAGACCAAUGGUACCAGUUUGAUGAGCCUAAAUAGACAUGUAAAAUGAA
Molecule: long non-coding RNA, 1498 nt
Organism: Aedes albopictus (Asian tiger mosquito)
Lineage: Eukaryota; Metazoa; Arthropoda; Insecta; Diptera; Culicidae
Exons: 4
Source: RefSeq, a predicted model, not a curated record